CUGGUGGUGAGCAUGGCUCACCAAGGCUACGAUGGGUAGGGGUUCUUAGUGGAAGAUCCCCCACACUGGCACUGAGAUACGGGCCAGACUCCUACGGGAGGCAGCAGUAGGGAAUAUUGGUCAAUGGGCGAAAGCCUGAACCAGCCAUGCCGCGUGCAGGAUGACAGCUCUCUGAGUUGUAAACUGCUUUUGUACAGGAGCAAAACAAUCCCUGCGGGGGUUCUUGAGAGUACUGUAAGAAUAAGCACCGGCUAAUUCCGUGCCAGCAGCCGCGGUAAUACGGAAGGUGCAAGCGUUAUCCGGUUUUAUUGGGUUUAAAGGGUGCGUAGGCGGCUUAUUAAGUCAGUUGUGAAAUCCUAGUGCUUAACGCUAGAACUGCAAUUGAUACUAUUAGGCUUGAGUAAAGAAUAGGUAAA
This 416-nucleotide ribosomal RNA is filed under the name Cardinium endosymbiont of Bemisia tabaci. Its description in RNAcentral is "bacterial SSU rRNA". It matches the Rfam family "Bacterial small subunit ribosomal RNA", at positions 246 to 661 of the family's 1533-position model. The record is from RNAcentral. Lineage: Bacteria; Pseudomonadati; Bacteroidota; Cytophagia; Cytophagales; Amoebophilaceae.